UGAUUUUGUUUGUCUGAACUAGCUGCUAGUCCAGUAGCUAGAGUGGCUAGCAAUCGUUAGCUAACACAUGCUGUUGUGCCUUUGUUACAGUAACUUACACACUGAGGUUAAGCAAUGUUGCUAGUUACAUUACAUGUAGAAAUGUAACUAGCUACAAUACCUUGACCGGAGCAUAACUGGUUAACUUCACACAAGAGACCUACUGUUGGACAAUCGUUUUGGCUUUAAAGAUGCUGUUUGCCAUUGUUCAGUUUAUUGAUGAGGAGGAUCAGCCAUUUGCAGUGGUUCCGCAAGUGUGGCUCAGCGAGGGCAUGUGCUAUUGGCCCCCAUUUAACCUCCGCAAAAAAGACAAAGGCAACAAUUUAGCCAUCCGCUGCACGCCUCCACACAGCACCUGGGAGAAACAUCAUUUUAAGUUUAUGAAGGGAGCAGAAUGUUGGCAAGAGGCGAUGAGAUAUUUGGUGCGCUUCCAAACAGGUUCUAGCGUUGAAACGACGGACGAUGACAAGAAGAGAAAGAGAAAGAGAAUCUCAAAUUCCAAGUACAGACCCCAGGCCUCUUCUGAUGAAGAGGAGUCUAGUCUUCCAGAUGCACCAGCAGUGCUGUCGUUUGGACAACCUCUUUUGAGCUUUGAAAACAUUGUUCCUGGUAACAAGGUUUCAGUGCUGCCCGAUGCUCCAGAAGUUGCAUCGAUUCCAGAAAACCAGGAAAAUGUUGUGCCAUCUGUAGACUUCAGAGGUGAACCAGGUUUCUCCCCAGAAAUUCAGACUCCACUUCACAGAGCCAAGAGUUUGAGUACAAGAGAAAGUCAUCGCUCUGUAAUUGGCCCUUGGACUCCCCUGGCAUCUCGUGUACAGCAUUAA
Molecule: long non-coding RNA, 863 nt
Filed under: Carassius auratus (goldfish)
Lineage: Eukaryota; Metazoa; Chordata; Actinopteri; Cypriniformes; Cyprinidae
Description: lncRNA (ENSCARG00000018744.1)
Source: RNAcentral